AUUUUUCACAAUGGGGGAAACCCUGAUGGAGCGACGCCGCGUGGGGGAUGAAUGGCUUCGGCCCGUAAACCCCUGUCAUUCGCGAACAAUGCCUGCGGUAUAACACAUCGCAGGUUGACAGUAGCGGAAGAGGAAGGGACGGCUAACUCUGUGCCAGCAGCCGCGGUAAUACAGAGGUCCCAAGCGUUGUUCGGAUUCACUGGGCGUAAAGGGUGCGUAGGCGGUCGGAUAAGUCUGAUGUGAAAUCUUCGAGCUCAACUCGGAAACUGCAUUGGAUACUAUUCGGCUUGAGGUCUGGAGGGGGGACUGGAAUUCUCGGUGUAGCAGUGAAAUGCGUAGAUAUCGAGAGGAACACCAGUGGCGAAGGCGAGUCCCUGGACAGGUCCUGACGCUGAGGCACGAAAGCUAGGGGAGCAAAC
This 419-nucleotide ribosomal RNA is filed under the name uncultured bacterium. RNAcentral's name for it is "bacterial SSU rRNA". It matches the Rfam family "Bacterial small subunit ribosomal RNA", at positions 361 to 773 of the family's 1533-position model. The record is from RNAcentral.